Molecule: ribosomal RNA, 690 nt
Filed under: uncultured Acidobacteriota bacterium
Lineage: Bacteria; Pseudomonadati; Acidobacteriota
Description: bacterial SSU rRNA
Rfam family: Bacterial small subunit ribosomal RNA
Source: RNAcentral
GAUCCUGGCUCAGAAUCAACGCUGGCGGCGUGCCUAACACAUGCAAGUCGAACGCGAAAGGGGCUUCGGCCCUGAGUAGAGUGGCGAACGGGUGAGUAACACGUGGGUGAUCUACCUUCGAGUGGGGGAUAACGUCCCGAAGGGGAGGCUAAUACCGCAUGACGUUCUGGGUUUAAAGACCUGGAAACCAAAGCCGGGGACCGCAAGGCCUGGCGCUUGAAGAGGAGCCCGCGUCCGAUUAGCUAGUUGGCGGGGUAAUGGCCCACCAAGGCGACGAUCGGUAGCCGGCCUGAGAGGGCGGACGGCCACACUGGAACUGAGACACGGUCCAGACUCCUACGGGAGGCAGCAGUGGGGAAUUGUUCACAAUGGGCGCAAGCCUGAUGACGCAACGCCGCGUGGGGGAUGAAGGUCUUCGGAUUGUAAACCCCUGUCGAAUGGGACGAAUGAUUCGCGCACUAACACCGCGCGGAAAUGACGGUACCGUUAAAGGAAGCCACGGCUAACUCUGUGCCAGCAGCCGCGGUAAUACAGAGGUGGCAAGCGUUGUUCGGAAUUACUGGGCGUAAAGGGCGCGUAGGCGGCCAUCUAAGUCAGACGUGAAAUCCCCCGGCUUAACCUGGGAACUGCGUCUGAUACUGGAAGGCUCGAGUUUGGGAGAGGGAUGUAGAAUUCCAGGUGUAGCGGUGA